GAUGAACGCUGGCGGCGUGCCUAAUACAUGCGAGUCGAGCGAACGGACGAGAAGCUUGCUUCUCUGAUGUUAGCGGCGGACGGGUGAGUAACACGUGGAUAACCUACCUAUAAGACUGGGAUAACUUCGGGAAACCGGAGCUAAUACCGGAUAAUAUUUUGAACCGCAUGGUUCAACAGUGAAAGACGGUCUUGCUGUCACUUAUAGAUGGAUCCGCGCUGCAUUAGCUAGUUGGUAAGGUAACGGCUUACCAAGGCAACGAUGCAUAGCCGACCUGAGAGGGUGAUCGGCCACACUGGAACUGAGACACGGUCCAGACUCCUACGGGAGGCAGCAGUAGGGAAUCUUCCGCAAUGGGCGAAAGCCUGACGGAGCAACGCCGCGUGAGUGAUGAAGGUCUUCGGAUCGUAAAACUCUGUUAUUAGGGAAGAACAUAUGUGUAAGUAACUGUGCACAUCUUGACGGUACCUAAUCAGAAAGCCACGGCUAACUACGUG
RNAcentral lists this ribosomal RNA (497 nucleotides) under uncultured bacterium. RNAcentral describes it as "partial 16S ribosomal RNA". It matches the Rfam family "Bacterial small subunit ribosomal RNA", at positions 28 to 507 of the family's 1533-position model. The record is from RNAcentral.